GGGGCGCUAGCUCAUCAGGUAGAGCAACUGCCUUUUAAGCAGUUGGUGCGGAGUUCGAGUCUCCGGCGCCUCACCA
Molecule: transfer RNA, 76 nt
Filed under: Candidatus Dojkabacteria bacterium
Lineage: Bacteria
Description: tRNA-Lys
Rfam family: tRNA
About the family: Transfer RNA (tRNA) molecules are approximately 80 nucleotides in length.
Source: RNAcentral